RNAcentral lists this ribosomal RNA (544 nucleotides) under uncultured archaeon. RNAcentral's name for it is "bacterial SSU rRNA". It matches the Rfam family "Archaeal small subunit ribosomal RNA", at positions 457 to 997 of the family's 1478-position model. The record is from RNAcentral.
GGCAGCAGCCGCGGUAACACCGGCGGCCCGAGUGGUGAUCGUGAUUAUUGGGUCUAAAGGGUCCGUAGCCGGUUAGGUCAGUCCUCCGGGAAAUCUGAUAGCUCAACUAUUAGGCUUUCGGGGGAUACUGCCAGACUUGGAACCGGGAGAGGUAAGAGGUACUACAGGGGUAGGAGUGAAAUCUUGUAAUCCCUGUGGGACCACCUGUGGCGAAGGCGUCUUACCAGAACGGGUUCGACGGUGAGGGACGAAAGCUGGGGGGCACGAACCGGAUUAGAUACCCGGGUAGUCCCAGCCGUAAACGAUGCUCGCUAGGUGUCAGGCAUGGCGCGACCGUGUCUGGUGCCGCAGGGAAGCCGCGAAGCGAGCCACCUGGGAAGUACGGCCGCAAGGCUGAAACUUAAAGGAAUUGGCGGGGGAGCACAACAACGGGUGGAAGCCUGCGGUUUAAUUGGACUCAACGCCGGACAACUCACCGGGGGCGACAGCAAUAUGUAGGCCAAGCUGAAGACUUUGCCUAGAAUCGCUGAGGGGAGGUGCAUGG